CUGGCUCAGGAUGAACGCUAGCUACAGGCUUAACACAUGCAAGUCGAGGGGCAGCAUGAUCUAAGCUUGCUAGAUGAUGGCGACCGGCGCACGGGUGAGUAACGCGUAUCCAACCUUCCCUAUAGUAGAGGAUAGCCCGGCGAAAGUCGGAUUAAUACUCUAUGUUUUCCAAUGCGGACAUCUAAGUUGGAACAAAGGUUUACCGCUAUAGGAUGGGGAUGCGUCUGAUUAGAUAGUAGGCGGGGUAACGGCCCACCUAGUCGACGAUCAGUAGGGGUUCUGAGAGGAAGGUCCCCCACAUUGGAACUGAGACACGGUCCAAACUCCUACGGGAGGCAGCAGUGAGGAAUAUUGGUCAAUGGGCGAGAGCCUGAACCAGCCAAGUAAGCGUGCAGGAUGACGGCCCUAUGGGUUGUAAACUGCUUUUAUCGGGGGAUAAAGUGAGGGACGUGUCCCUUAUUGUAGGUACCCGAUGAAUAAGGACCGGCUAAUUCCGUGCCAGCAGCGGC
This 509-nucleotide ribosomal RNA is filed under the name uncultured bacterium. RNAcentral describes it as "bacterial SSU rRNA". It matches the Rfam family "Bacterial small subunit ribosomal RNA", at positions 19 to 518 of the family's 1533-position model. The record is from RNAcentral.